UACGUAGGGUGCGAGCGUUUGUCCGGAAUUAUUGGGCGUAAAGAGCUUGUAGGCGGUUUGUCGCGUCUGCCGUGAAAAUCCGGGGCUCAACCCCGGACUUGCGGUGGGUACGGGCAGACUAGAGUGUGGUAGGGGAGACUGGAAUUCCUGGUGUAGCGGUGAAAUGCGCAGAUAUCAGGAGGAACACCGAUGGCGAAGGCAGGUCUCUGGGCCACUACUGACGCUGAGAAGCGAAAGCGUGGGGAGCGAACAGG
This 254-nucleotide ribosomal RNA is filed under the name uncultured bacterium. RNAcentral's name for it is "partial 16S ribosomal RNA". It matches the Rfam family "Bacterial small subunit ribosomal RNA", at positions 524 to 776 of the family's 1533-position model. The record is from RNAcentral.